CGGGACUGAAAAUGCUCCCUCAAAGGCCCUUCAGCAUAUGAAACCAGCAUACCAGAUGACCACGUAUGAUCCAGUGUUGUCAAAGGAGAAGCUGAGGAGGUGUUAGACUUCUUGGUUGCAAGUGGUGGCUGGGCUGCUACUGGACGUGCUGAGUGUGGUUCAACACCAUCUGAUGGUGUCAUGAUGAUACGGGAGGACGGCAGGGAAGUGCUGGGAGGAGAAGGUCCCUGGUGAGGGCUCCAGCCCUGGGCCUGGGCCCAGGGACAUAGGUAAGGACAGGCACUCCUGCCUUAGCGUCCAAAUGUUGCAUUUCCCAAGACCACCCUGGCCCGCCAUGCCCCAUCCUGUACCUGUGAAAACCCCGAGACCUUAGUGGGCACAGACACAAGCAGCUGGACAUUGACAGGAACACACCGGCGGAAGAAGACACAAGCGGCUGGAUGUCGAGAGGAACGUACCGGCGUAAGAGCACAUUGACAGCCCCAGCAGACUGGCAGGCCAUCAACUGGCAGAACGACACUAAGUUUGGCCAGGGUGGUCGGAGGAGAGCCUGGCCCUGAGUGGACCGACUCGAGGGGAAAACCACCUUCCCACUCCAUCUCCCUUCUGGCUCCCCCAUGGGCUGAGGGCUACUUCCACUGAAUAAAACCUUGCACUCAUUCUCCAAGCCCAUGUGUGAUCUAAUUCUCCUGGUACACCAAGGCAAGAACCCCGGGAUACAGAAAGCUCUCUGUCCUUGCGAUAAGCCAGAGUGUCUAAUUGAGCUGGUUAACACCAGCCGCCCACCGACGGCAAAACUAAAAGAGCACUCUGUAACACACGCCCACUGGGGCUUCAGGAGCUGUAAACAUCCACCCCUAGACACUGCCGUGGGGUUGGAGCCCCA
This 886-nucleotide long non-coding RNA is filed under the name Homo sapiens (human). RNAcentral's name for it is "HSALNT0122388". Lineage: Eukaryota; Metazoa; Chordata; Mammalia; Primates; Hominidae. The record is from RNAcentral.